UCCAAUUAAGCCUUGGUGACUCUGAGGCUGGACUCUCCUUUAAAGGAUGUUAUGAGAAUUCAACAUAAUCCUGAAAAAGUAAACCUAAAUCCAAGCCUUUUCCCAAGCCAAACUACUUAUACUUACUAAAAAUGUAAGCAUGCCUGGAGAAUCAGAAAGAUGUAUAUUGCUAAUGUUUGCUCCCAUGAGACCCACUUCACAUACUCACAAAAUCAUAACAUUUUCUCAAAACAACGGUAGUACUGUACACCCUAACAUAAUUCAUUUUUAAGCAGUGCUAAUGACAUUAGUAAAGGAAAAUGUCAGCCAAGCUGCAAUAAAACAUUUCCAGCCCAAUAAAAGUACUGUAGUUGUGUUGGGUGCUUUAAAAUUACUGGUUUUGAAAGGUUAAAAUAAUAAGUGAUCACGGAUCCAAGAAAUACAAUGCUCAAGUCAUUAGCAGAGACAUUUUCUGCUGUAUCAUAAUUAAAGUUUCAGGAACUCCUCAGUUUAGAUCCUGUAAGGUGAUCUCCAUAGGACCCCCUCUGCUAUGCGCUUCCUCUCUGAAGAAAGAAAGUUAAAUACAGGACCAAUUACACAUAUCUUAGGAAAUUUUUAAAAGUUAUAUUUUGCUCUGUAAUACCCAUGUGUAAUUCCUUUUGGACAUGAUGACCUGGCCUUUUGGAAAUGCCUUAAACCAGAUAAAAACACACUGUGAUGAUCUAUUUUCCCAAAGACUGAAACUUAUAUUGGUCUAAUUUUCCUGCCACACCACCUUUUCAGAAGAUUUUUCUGCUUCUUAUAUCCAUAACAAAAGCAGACACAGUCAUGUCUCAGGUGUAAGAGAAUAUAUCAUUUAUUGAGCUUUGUGAUUAGGUAUUUGACAUACAUUGUAUUUUGUCCUCAACCAGGUGUAUUACUAUUGCCAUUAUAUCUGUAAUGACAUAGUCCAGAGAAGUAAAAUUGUCCUUGAGGUCCAUAGUAGUGAAUGGAAAUAAGAUGAACCUGAGAACAUCUGACUCCCCAGGUUGUGUACUCUUCCCCCAGAGUGAAUCAUCCUAAAGUGAGUUAUGUUACUAAUCCUCUCCUCUACAUCGUAGUAUGUUUGGGCUUAAAAGCUAAGCUAGAGUUUCCAGGAGGAGCACAAAUAAACAAGAGAGAGUGCAAGGUCUGAACAAAGAUCUUUAAUAUCAACCCUUUCUGUUAACGACAGCAUGAGAGCAGGACUUGCUUCAAAUAAUCCAAAAUUAGUGGUUACAUACUUCGUGCAAAAAACCUAACUUGCUUGCUUGCUUGCUUCAUCUUUUUAGGGCCACGGCUGCAGCCCUCAUUCCCAGGAUAGGGGUCAAAUCUCAGCUACAGCUGCCGGCCUACACCACAGCCACACAGGAUCCGAGCCGCGUCUGAGACCUACACCACAGCUUGAGGCAACGCCAGAUCCUUAACUCACGGAGCGAGGUCAGGGAUCCAAAUCCUCAUGGAUAUUAGUUGGGUUUUUAACCUACUGAGCCACAAUAGGAAUUCCUGUUUCUAAUUCAGUUAAAAUUUUGGAACUGAACUAUUUUAAGUUCAAUUGAAAUUUUGUACAUUGUAUAUUAAAUCCAUUCAGAGAACUCAUUAUUUAACGAAAGCAUGAAGUCAGUUCCUCUGUUGAACGAGAGGGUAUUUACAUCCUAGUUUACCUCCUUUGUAAAGCUGGAAUUUCCACUUUGUAAUUCAGCCACUUCCACAGAUGUUUAUUUCAGACUACAGGGCACGAGGCACUGUGCCAGGGGAUGAGCUGAGCAAAGACAUUGUCCUCAGAGAGCUUAGAGCCUAAUGGGGCAAGAGUUAAAUAGCAAAACAAAACAAAACAGUCUACUAGAAAGCAAUGUAUAUGUGUCACAUGAGAAUUCUCAAAGUACCAUGAGAUAUCAAAGGAGACAGAACUUACAUCUAUGUCUGGCAACCAGGGGACGCUUCAUGAGGUAGAAGGCAGAUGAAAUGAGUGAAAAGAUGAGUACUUUUUUGACAAGAUGAGAGUGAGAGAUGAGAAGGAAUUUCUGAACACAGCUGGAGCUUAUCUGUUACCAAUGAUUCUAAUUAAGUCAAAGUCUUAGUGCUAUGAAAUACAGUCAAGAUAUGCAUUUAUUUGUAAUCCACUCCAGAGGCUUUGAGAGAACAUAUGAUUAAACUUCACAUAAAACAGGAUAGUUAAAAAUAAAGAUUAUAUGGGAAUGCUUUUACUCCCCGCUUAAUUUUCCUCUAAACCUAACACAGAUCAAAAAAUCAGGAGUUCUUCUUGUGGCACAGCGGAAACAAAUCCGACUGGUAUCCAUGAGGAUGUGGGUUCCAUGCCCAGCCUCGCUCAGUGGGUUAAGGAUCCUGCAUUGCUGUGAGCUGUGGUGUGGGUCGCAGACAUGGCUUGGAUCCCACGUUGCUAUGGCUGUGGUGCAGUUGGACCCCCUAGCCUGGGAACCUCCACAUGCUGAGGGUGCGGCCCUAAAAAGAAAAAAAUAUAUGUAUAUAUUAAAGGUUAUUGUUUUAAAAAAUAAAGGUAGACUGUUAUAGUUCAGUUAUUUUUUUAAUUAAGGAAAAUUCUUCAACACUUUAAUGCUGGAUAUUAUCACAGGUGGCUUACAUUAUCUUAUGGACGAUCCAGUCUAACACUCCAUCCUCCUCAAGGUUAGAGUUCUUCAACUCAACUUGGCUGGCUCCACUCACAUCAAUGGAGUCUCCCAGAUCUUGUAUCACCCUAUUCUAAAAUUUUAAAUUCCAGUCAUUCUCUGACUAUCUCUUCCUAUCAUUCCAAACCCACCAUUUCCUAUUCAACUGCUCUUUGGAACUCACUGAAGCUUACAGUCCAUUGACCAUGCGAGUUUUCCCAAUUUACCCUUUUAGCUUAUGUGCCCUCAUCCAAUCAGUCACCUCUUGUGCACACCUUAGAUGCUUUGCUCCAGUGUCUAUUGAAAUCUUCCAGCAACAUCUGAGCCCUUCAUAAAUCUGCCUCUUCUCCCCUUUCUUUACCCCAAAUAGUUAUCACAGCUGAAGAAACUCUUAACACCAUGCAGUUGCUCCCACUACACAUGGUCUGAAGCCUCACUCCUGCCCUCCACACAAGGCAGCUCUUCCAUUGUCCACUGCAAGCCAUUGUAAUCUCCUCAAGCCUUCUGUCUUGCCUGUUUCCCUCUCACUCUUAGCAGUGAGCCAUAUCUCCUCUACAAAGAACUUAGAAGUCAUUAAGUGUUGUUCUCUCUCCCAGCUCCCACCUCACACCGCUCUGAACACAUCCAUCCACACCCUCUCCUAACUCCUUCCUUCAGCUCAGUGGAAAAGGCAUCUCUCUCCCAGACCAGGGCUAGCAUCUCUCUUUGUGCCCUGAGCCCCCUUCAGUAUUGCUACUUGAGAGACCUUGCUCCUUUAAUUAUCCCCUUUAACUAAUUUCUACCACUCUGUCUCUUUGUGCUGACUCUGUCUUCUCAACAUAAAAACAGUCUCAAGUCUCUUCUAUUUAUAAAAACACAAACCCUCCCUUAAACCCAGACCCCUCUCCCCAGCACAGCUACUUUCAGUUCUCUUUCCUCCUUUCCCAAGCCAAGCUAAUGGAAGGAAUAAUCUACUACUAAUACCUUGCAAGCCACAAUACCAAUGUCCAAAGUAAGACAAGGAGGAUACAAAAGAACCCAGGCUUGAUACCAUUUUAUACAUAAAGACUCCAUUCAUGACAUCAGUCCCAAACUCCCAGGACUCCCUUCAAGCUUAGCUAGACAGGCUAUUCAUGUCCCUGCCUAAAAGACUGUUUAUAGUAUUUUCAUGUGAUUUUUCUCUUUCUAAUGCCAUUGCCAGAACAUGUGGGAAUGGAUGAUAUGCAGUCAGAGUCAGAUGGACCUAGACACCUGACUGCCCACCGUCUGUGUGUCUGUCUUACCUCAAUUAGGGAAUCACAGAGAUCUAAGUGUUCAGCGGUUUUCCUCCCCAUGAGUUCUUAGUACAAUCUGCAGGCUCCCUUGAAACCCACUGAACUCCCAACUUCUUAUUUUUAAUAAGCUACCUCUGAUUACCUUCCCUUUCACGUUCACAUGGACUCCCCCCACCCCCCCGAAUCCUGCUCUGCUUAAUACUCAGGUGGCUUUCAGAAAUCUAAAGGAAUGUGCUUGCACAGCGACCUAAGCUUUUCUCUGUGUAGUUAAACUUCUACUCAAGUUUAACUACCACUUGAUCCUGUGAUUACAUUAGUAGGAGACGCCUAAGGACCAGUAAUAGCUUUUUAGGAAAAGAAAUAAGGAAAAGACUACCGUAUAAAUCAAGACACUGGUUGAGCAUAUGUUCCACUUUAAGAGACAUUUAAAUGUGGGGAAAAGUAACUGCUUUUUGGAAUAUAGGAAAUGCAGUAUUUUUUUUUUUUUACUACUCACUAUGCAAGACACUGUGAAGAGAUAUAAAGUGACACAGAGAUGAUCACAUAUGGUACCUCCCCAAAGAACUCCCUAGCGGAGAAGGGAGACAGAAAUCACACACAGUUCAAAUACAAACUGAGUAUUCCAGCAGAGUUGUUAAGGUUACAAUUUUUGGAGUGAAAUCCUGAGUUCAAAUCUUUGCCCAGAUUCCUCAUCUAUAAAAUGGAAAUAAUGAUACCUGCUUUGCAGGAGUGCUGCAAAGAAGAAAUGAGCUAGAUGGUGAAAGUAGAGUUUAUCAUGGGUGAAGCAUAUUGGUUCUCGAUAAGUCAGUGGGAUUUUGGCUAUUAUUAGCUUCAUCAUCAUUAUUAUGGAGAGAUAAACUAGAUACUGUAUGAGUUUGAAGGAAGAAGAGAUCCCAUGUGCUUCAAAGACUCAAGAAAGACCUCAUUCAGUAGGUGGCCCUUGUGAAAAGCCUUGAAGAAUACGUGAUAUUUCUUUAGGGCAAGAUGGAGAAACUGCAUCUAUCUCCAGUCCUGGCAUGGGGACCCAGAGCCUGCCAGCAUAACCACCCUAGGCAUUAUGGGCAGAGAUGAAACUUUGCACAUGGUGAACUUUCCAGUACUUGCUUAUGAUUGUACCUGGUCAGUUCAUUUAUUCAAUAAAUUCCUAUUUAUAUCUUUGAUUUGAAACAGGCAGUACUUGUUAAAGUACUAUAAUAUCCAUGAUAGUCCAAAAAGCAAGUAAAGGAUAUUUUGAAUAAGUGUUACUGUAUAAUAAUUUCAGAAGAGCAUAUUUGUUAUUAAUGACAGACAGUGUAUUAUGUACCUCUUGGCUUGUCAUCCUGUCUAUGGAGUACAUGUUGUAAAGGAAGAAAAGUGGGUAGUUAUAUUUCACAUGAACAUCAAAUUUAAUGUUCCUUCCUUGUAGCUUUAUAAAGUAGAAUUGUGGCAAGAUUGUCCCAAGUUAAUGCCAGGAAAAAUGAAAAAUAAAUGUCUUUUUUAAAAUGUCUCUUAUAUAAACAAGUAAAACCUGUUAAAGUGAUUUCAGUCGUUGAACAUAGGUCAGUUCCCAUUAAAACAAAACUCCAUGGAUAGGUCUGAAUUAUUUUAUGUUGCUAUUUUGUUGUAUCAAGUAUGGCUUAGCAGAAAUUAAAAAUAUGAAAUUUGCAUCAGAGCAAAAUAAAUAUCAAUAUUAUUAUUAAUGUGGCCAGUGUUGGCAGAUUCAAAUAAUUUUGCAAUAAAAGAGUUGUAAUUCUUCCUAUAUUCAUCUUUAAUGGGUGCAGAUUUAUGGCUAAAAAAAUGACCAAGUGAUUUUUUCAUCUCAUUAUAUAGAGAAGUUAAUUUUUGUCUCAGAUGUCUAUUUCAACAAUUGCUUUCAAGAUACUUAUCAGAAAAACACAAUCGAGACAUUGUUAUUAAGAUUUAUGUGUCCUGCAUAAAAAUUAUCUAAGAGGUUCUAUUCAUUAGCAUUCUGUAUCUCUGUCUCAUUCCCAAGGAAUUUUUCUACAAUAAGACCUUGUUUGGGACUAUAAUUAUUGCCUGGGUUUUAAUAGUAUCACUCAUUAUUAAAGUUUGAUAUAAAAUUUUGGACUCUAGCCAUUUGAGAACAUUUCUUACAUGUCAUGUAGAUGAGAUGUUUGGAAUACUCGAACCUGAUUUUGGAGAUAGAGCUGAUCAUGAUCUAGAGAGGCCCUAUUACUUUCUCCUCCACCUACUCUUUCACCUUUAGUAGGCUUAGAUCCCAUCUAGAGCCAUUCCUCAGUUCUUUGGGAACCUUUGCCCAGUGUACUAAUCACCUUUUGCUGUGUACCAAAAAAAUCUCAGUGGUUUGCAAUAAUGAAACACUUACAUUUUGCCUACAGGUUGGCUGGGCACACAUGGCAGCCUAUUCUGAGGGGCGAGUCAGGUUCAGGUAUGUUCCAUGAGUCUUUCAUUCUGGGAUACCAUAAUCCCAAAGUAUGUGGGAUACCACAGACCAGAGACAGGGUUCCAAAAAUCAACAGCCCAUUGCAGAAGGGGAAGCAGUCACUGGUCUGUAGCAAUUCUAAAAUCUCAUUGGGCAAACACGGCCAGGUUCCCAACCUGGAGGUAGGAAAUGUUCCUUGAUCAGUCUCCAGUUCUGUUCCCUGGGAAUGGCUCUUCUUUUCCGUUGUUCUCAUGGCUCUUGGUUCCACUUUCGGGGAGGUAGUUUUCCAUUAUUCCUUUUGGUCACAUCUGAAGAAGUAUAUGUCCUCCCCAGCAGCCAAGGAGCUUCCUCAUCCUACUAUCUGCCUGUGGAAUGUUGGGGACCCCAAGGUCUUUUUGAAAAAAUAAAAUUUUAGUUGAGAAUAGUCUUAGACUUACACAAAAGUUGCUAAGAUAGUACAGAGAGUUCAUAUAUCCAACACCAUGUUUCUCCUAUUACUAACAUCUCACAUUAAUAAGGUACAUUUGUCACAAUUAAUGAACCAAUACUGACACAUUAUUAUUACCCUAAGAUCUUUUAUUAUGGCUCAAGGAGUCUCAGUCUCAUUCAGAAAAAAAAAAAGAAGCUCCUGUGUGGCUCAGUGGUAAUGAACCCAACUAGUACCCAUGAGGAGGCAGGUUUGAUCCUAGCCUUGCUCAGUAGGUUAAGGAUUGGGCAUUGCUGUAAGCUAUGGUAUAGGUCACAGACACGGGGCUUGGAUGCCACAUUUCUGUGGCUGAGGUAUAGGCCGGCAGCUAUAGUUCCUAUUUGACCCCUAGCCUGGGAACUUCCAUAUGGCCCUAAAAACAG
RNAcentral lists this long non-coding RNA (7109 nucleotides) under Sus scrofa (pig). Its description in RNAcentral is "lncRNA (ENSSSCG00000058806.1)". The record is from RNAcentral. Lineage: Eukaryota; Metazoa; Chordata; Mammalia; Artiodactyla; Suidae.